CAGUGACUCUGUUCAACGGCCGCGGUAUCCUAACCGUGCAAAGGUAGCGUAAUCACUUGUCUUUUAAAUAAGGACUAGUAUGAAAGGCGCCACGAGGGCUAAGCUGUCUCCUUUUUCUAAUCAGUGAAUCUGAUCCCCCUGUGAAGAAGCAGGGAUAUUCGUAUAAGACGAGAAGACCCUAUGGAGCUUAAAACAUCACAACACUUGCUGACUCAAAUUAUUAGACUCAUCACCCAAUCAGCAUACUGAUUGUGAGUUUUUGGUUGGGGUGACCGCGGAGAAUAACUAAUCCUCCACAGUGAAUAGGAAUUUCCUUAAACAAUAAGUUACAACUUUAUGUAUCAAUAAAUUGACACCCAUUGACCCAAUACACUUGAUCAACGAACCAAGUUACCCUAGGGAUAACAGCGCCAUCCACUUUAAGAGCUCCUAUCGACAAGUGGGCUUACGACCUCGAUGUUGGAUCGGGAUAUCCUAGUGGUGCAGCCGCUACUAAGGGUUCGUUUGUUCAACGAUUAAAAUCCCACGUGAUC
This 533-nucleotide ribosomal RNA is filed under the name Pristimantis acuminatus (Canelos robber frog). RNAcentral's name for it is "partial 16S ribosomal RNA". It matches the Rfam family "Bacterial large subunit ribosomal RNA", at positions 1912 to 2605 of the family's 2925-position model. The record is from RNAcentral. Lineage: Eukaryota; Metazoa; Chordata; Amphibia; Anura; Strabomantidae. RNAcentral also lists the same sequence under 1 other name.